AGUGUACUUCUAUACAGUGUACAUAUGCAGUAAUCAUAUGCUGCAGUUGUGGUGAAUCAUAUGCUGCAGUUGGGAGCUGCAAGUACAAUGUACAACCAGGGAAUUGUAAUUAGAAAGUCCAGCUCCCAACUCCAGUUUAUGACGUAACCGACGCCAUUUUUAAUAAUUGAUGAGUCAUAUCUACUUAUGUAGUAUCGGUUUACUACCAUAUUAGCAGCUGAUCCGUCUAGACUCUGGAUUAUGUCGCUGCAGUCAAUAUUAUUUUGGACGCAAUUCGCGGUUCCGUUCCCUAAACGGUGAUUAAUCUAGAUUGUAGCAAAAUGUACGACAAAUAUUCACGUUUUGUUUUACAAAGUUUACGCAUAUUCGGGAUGUGUCCUUGGCAGCAAACGAACUCCGGACCGAAACUGUUACUGUAUUCUGUAGUCUCCCGAAUCUUGUUCAUUGCUGUGGCGCUGUGUGCUAUAACUGCUGAUUUUUUGACGUAAUCACACACUUGGAUUACCAUCAAUGAACCAAAACUUCCACUGACUCUUGUAGCCAGCUUAUUUAUUCUAACAUCACUCCUGGUAACUGUCUACGGAUCCAUAAUGGCGUUGCGUAGCAAACCUUUGCUGUCUAUUAUGGAAGAAUUGCGCCGACUGGUCCAAAAUGUGCCGCUCGUAAUGCACACACUGAGACUCUGCUGUAUGUGGUAUGCUGCCGGUGUAUGUGGAUUUGGUGUCGUGCUAACCUACAUCGCGAUACGGCGAAUGCGAGAUGCUUGGUACCAAAAAGAAGUCAUCUUCGGCUUUGAGUUUUGCUCCUUAUACGGGAUGGUUCUCCAGAUGAUUUUAGUAAGCGUGAUUUGCUGCGUGGCUAUAGUAUUCUCGUUAUCGUUUGUCAUUUUCGCGGUGACCUUAGGAUCUGCCUUCAGGGCAAUUGAAAACCGCUGUACUGAGCAUUAUCAGAAGCAUAAAACUGGCGAAAGGGAUUAUAAGGGCCUUGUGGCCGAAAUUAAUAAGUGUCGGCACGAGCAUCUGGCGUUGUCUAACAUUGUUCGCAGUCUCGAUGAUGUCUACGCUCCGUCCAACUUCGUCAGCUUAAUGCUGGAAGUUCUUCUGGUGGUGUUCAAUUUCGGAACAGUAAUCGGUGUGGCUCCCUCAAAAAUUGGGCACAUGUUUACGAAUAAUAUCACUGAUCUUGUGUUUUGCUCGUUGAAUGCAUUGGUUAACGUUUUCGUACUGAUGAAACGGCUGGUUUGCUGCAGCUUAUAUGCAAAAGCAGGCAUAUUCGAUUGCGGUGAUUUUAAGCAGCGUGACGGAAGGGUUUGAUACCAACGGAAACGAUGAAUUCGAGGUGCAGAUAAAUAAGACACUGCGUCGCUUACGAGAUUGCCCUGUCGUGUUCACGGCCGGCUGGAAAUAUCUUCACACUGAACACCGAAUUUAUUCUGUCGGUGUCCGGCAUUCUGAUUGCGUACGUUUUGGUCCUGUAUGAGAUGAAUUCCAAAGGCGAUCACCAUGCCAUGUUUCCGUGCAACUGUACAGCAAAGAUGUCCGUAAGGCGUUAGCCGAUAUUGUGCGUCUUGGCAUUCAUGGUUAACGCCGUCACCACAAAUCUUUUUUGCUUGCUCUAGUUCCUAUCCCGUUUUUCAUAAAACGCUAUAGUAGAUACUUUUCUUAUCGUUCGGACGUACAUAUAUAUUAGGUAACAUCUAAUUACCUGUUCCUCGCACGAGACUGUUUCAAAUAUGGCAAUGCGUAAUCUUCUGAUGGGUUUCUUGUACGAAAUGUAUUUAUGUUCCAUACUGUUGUACUUUAGAAGUCUAAAGAGGCCUCAAGCCUGUAAUGAAGCUAUGUUCAGUACCUUGUGUUCGUAAUUUCGACAUACAUAUAAAUUUUACCGAGACUCUCUGUUGCACAUCUAUA
This is an RNA transcript of Paramacrobiotus metropolitanus, 1910 nucleotides long. RefSeq lists it as uncharacterized. NCBI's taxonomy places the organism in Eukaryota, Metazoa, Tardigrada, Eutardigrada, Parachela, Macrobiotidae. The transcript has 3 exons. The record is from RefSeq and is a predicted model, not a curated record.